GUUUCUACAAGUGUCAACAUGCAGGAAAGACGUCACAACAGAGCUGGAUGUCAGUUACAGCCGCUGUGUCCAGACCUGAAAACUCUUCAUUUCCUCUGCUGCUGAUCGUUGGACCAGUUGCUGGAAUUGUGUUUAUUUUACUGAUCUUACUUUGUUGGUACAGAAGGUCUAAAGGUUUUUCUACAGAGCAGACGGUCAACCAGUGUGAAAAUCAGCAGCAAGUUUACUCCUCUC
Molecule: long non-coding RNA, 234 nt
Organism: Melanotaenia boesemani (Boeseman's rainbowfish)
Lineage: Eukaryota; Metazoa; Chordata; Actinopteri; Atheriniformes; Melanotaeniidae
Exons: 3
Source: RefSeq, a predicted model, not a curated record